This 897-nucleotide long non-coding RNA is filed under the name Homo sapiens (human). Its description in RNAcentral is "HSALNT0135145". Lineage: Eukaryota; Metazoa; Chordata; Mammalia; Primates; Hominidae. The record is from RNAcentral.
GCUAACUCACUGUGGGAGCAGAGCCAGUGUCUGGAGUUCAGGUAUGCCCAGAGAGACCAUAGCUCCAUGGCCCAGGGUGUGGACUAGCUCAUUACAGUGGUAGCUGCAGUUUCUGAGGCACAGGUGUGUAUGGUGCAGCCAGAGAGCCAGGUCUGGAGUGCAGACACACGAGAUGCUGCAUCACCUCCAAGAUCUGGGGCUGGCUCACUGUUGAGGUGACUCAGGUAUCAAAGGUAUAGGCACUCAUGGAGCAGCAAUGGAGCUGGUGUCCUUAGUGUGGGUUCACACAGAGAAACCAAGGCUCCAAAACCCAGGGAAGGGCUCAUAUUCAGCAGUAGGAUUGUCAGUGUUUGAGGUGUGGACACAUGCAGUAUGGUUGCAGACCCAAGGACUGGAAUGCAGGUACUUACAUAACAGCUGUGGAGCUGGGGUCUGGAUUACUGACAUACACAAGAGUGACUUAGGUCCAGGGUCUGAAGUACAUGCCAGGUUUGGAAAGGUGGUGGCCCCAGUCCCAGGGCAGCUCAACUGGGUGCUUGUGGAGGGUGGGGGAAGGUGCAAUAUCAUCUCCUUUAUCAGGAGAGGGGAUCAACAACAGGAAUUGCUUUAGUAACCUCAGUAAAGAAAGAUGCCAGUGUCCUCUGCAAAAGCAGCCAUUGGGUACCACAGUGGCACCUCGCAUAUAGUUGAUCCUGAUAGCAUCUCUCUUUUUCUUUGAUCCUAGCCAUCUCUAGACACCUCAGGAUCUCCCCAACAAUCCUUUGUGUACUUAUUCUCCAUUUUUGCUCCACUGUGUUGUUGUAGAUUCUUAAUUGGGCUCUUGAGCCCUCCCCAAGGCUAAUUUUGUUCAUGGAUCACUGCCUAUUUGUUCGUUUUUGUGGGGGGAUGAACACUGGU